This 120-nucleotide ribosomal RNA is filed under the name Nageia nagi. The record is from RNAcentral. Lineage: Eukaryota; Viridiplantae; Streptophyta; Pinopsida; Araucariales; Podocarpaceae.
GGGUGCGAUCAUACCAGCACUAAUGCACCGGAUCCCAUCAGAACUCCGCAGUUACGCGCGCUUGGGCUGGAGUAGUACUGGGAUGGGUGACCUCCUGGGAAGUCCUAGUGUUGCACCCUU